UACAGAGGGUGCGAGCGUUAAUCGGAAUUACUGGGCGUAAAGCGCGCGUAGGCGGCUUCGCAAGUCGGAUGUGAAAUCCCCGGGCUCAACCUGGGAACUGCAUUCGAGACUGCGUUGCUAGAGUAUGGGAGAGGGAAGUGGAAUUUCCGGUGUAGCGGUGAAAUGCGUAGAUAUCGGAAGGAACAUCAGUGGCGAAAGCGACUUCCUGGACCAAUACUGACGCUCAUGUGCGAAAGCGUGGGGAGCAAACAGGAUUAGAUACCCUGGUAGUCCACGCCAUAAACGAUGAGAACUGGAUGUCGGGAGGGUCUGCCUCUCGGUGUCGUAGCUAACGCGUUAAGUUCUCCGCCUGGGGAGUACGGCCGCAAGGUUGAA
RNAcentral lists this ribosomal RNA (375 nucleotides) under uncultured bacterium. RNAcentral describes it as "bacterial SSU rRNA". It matches the Rfam family "Bacterial small subunit ribosomal RNA", at positions 524 to 898 of the family's 1533-position model. The record is from RNAcentral.